CCGUCCUGCCCCUACCAGUGCUGUUCCCCUCACCAGAGCUGUGGUGGGGGAGGACCUGGGGGCGGACGCAGAUCAACCUGCCUCUCAGGUUAGGAGGGCUGCCCCCAAGAGAUGUGCAUGCCCUUAAAGGCACGAGAGAACAUU
This is a non-coding RNA of Chelonoidis abingdonii (Abingdon island giant tortoise), 144 nucleotides long. Ensembl annotates it as small Cajal body-specific RNA 11. NCBI's taxonomy places the organism in Eukaryota, Metazoa, Chordata, Testudines, Testudinidae. The record is from Ensembl.